AAUCAACGCUGGCGGCGUGCCUCAGACAUGCAAGUCGAACGAGAAGUCCCCUUCGGGGGAUGGACAGUGGCGCACGGGUGAGUAACACGUGGGUAAUUUACCUUUGGUGGGGAACAACAGCCGGAAACGGCUGCUAAUACCGCAUAAUGCAGCGGCUCGACAUCGAGACAGUUGUUAAAGCGGGGGAUCGCAAGACCUCGCGCCUGAAGAGAAGCCCGCGGCAGAUUAGCUAGUUGGUAGGGUAAUGGCCUACCAAGGCGACGAUCUGUAACCGGCCUGAGAGGGCGGUACGGUCACACUGACACU
This 306-nucleotide ribosomal RNA is filed under the name uncultured bacterium. RNAcentral describes it as "bacterial SSU rRNA". It matches the Rfam family "Bacterial small subunit ribosomal RNA", at positions 32 to 320 of the family's 1533-position model. The record is from RNAcentral.